RNAcentral lists this ribosomal RNA (125 nucleotides) under Sinocyclocheilus rhinocerous. The record is from RNAcentral. Lineage: Eukaryota; Metazoa; Chordata; Actinopteri; Cypriniformes; Cyprinidae.
GGCCACAGCCAUAUCACCUUGCAGCCCAAUACUGGUUGCGCACUGAAGCUAAGCAGGGUUGAGCCUGGUCAGUAUAUUUAUUACAUUUACAUUUACAUUUAUUCAUUUAGCAGACGCUGUUAUCC